CUCGUAGGCGGUUCGGUAAGUCGGGUGUGAAAACUUGAGGCUCAACCUCAAGAGGCCACCCGAUACUGCUGUGACUCGAGUGCGGUAGGGGAGCGGGGAAUUCCUGGUGUAGCGGUGAAAUGCGCAGAUAUCAGGAGGAACACCAGUGGCGAAGGCGCCGCUCUGGGCCGUAACUGACGCUGAGGAGCGAAAGCGUGGGUAGCAAACA
This 208-nucleotide ribosomal RNA is filed under the name uncultured bacterium. RNAcentral describes it as "partial 16S ribosomal RNA". It matches the Rfam family "Bacterial small subunit ribosomal RNA", at positions 568 to 774 of the family's 1533-position model. The record is from RNAcentral.